UUACGUCGUCUUUUCAGUUUUCACAGCCUGAAUUGAAUCAUACGGCUGACCACAACUUUGUCCUAGAUCAUCGGAAUUGGUUCGACCUUUUCACUGCAAUGAGUACUUCGUAAUCUGGGUUUUUAAUUUUUGGUCAAUCGACUGGUCACUUAAUCAUUACCCCCUAUGAAGCGAGGGAUUGCUUAUAUUAUUCUGCAAGUCGUCUUCGUUUUCAUUAUCUGUCUGUACGCUUCAUUUGGUGGAAACUUUCGAAUGCUUUAGGGACAAGAGAUGGACAUCGACGUUAUCUUCGCAACGACUCGGAACGUAAGCCUCCAAACGGGUCGAAAUGGGAAGGAUAAUCAAUUAAGGGUUCCUAGGCAGCUCCAUCCUGAUCUUUAUGGAUGCUAAAUAGCUUGUGGCCGUGAACAUACGGCAGCUGUGGCGGCUGAUGGGUCACGUUUUACCUGAGGUAAAAAACCACCCAGUAAAAGCUCAACCAGAAGAUCAGCCAGGAAUUAUUAUUCUUGCCAAGGAACCGGUUCUUGAACAGGGCACAAGCAAGGGAAGUUGCAUGCUUCCUUCCAAACCCUGAAAGACAUUGCGGCUCUGAGCUGAGAGCUGGUCGUCAAAUCACUAGUAAAUUCAUCUCUCUAUUGGAUGCAGAGGCAGUAAAUGGAGUUCUUAGCCAUACGGAUUACGAGGAGCCUAAAGCACAACGUCCCAAGGUAGAAGAUGAAUCAGCUCCCAGCCGGAGGUUUAGAUUCCUGUCGAGAGAGAGAGAGAUCAAGAUUUACAGGGAAUGCACAAGAAGUCUUUCCCUCUCCAUCCCUAUAAUCAGCAGAUGUUUCUGAACGCAAGCUGGUGGUGGUUGUUCUUAUUUCCUCUCCAACAGAGGGUUUUUUAUUUUUAUUUUUAAUGUUUGAGCUGUCUUCGUACAAAGUCAAGUUCAAUAGGAAUUCUAAGGUGUUGUAUGGGUUUAAUACCUCUUAGUUUUUAGAGCUUAGGAUUGGCAAAUUCAGAUUGGUGCAACUUAUAUCUGGUUAUAGAAAGGAACGAGUUAUACGAACUGUGAGCUAAGUCCCAAAAAAA
Molecule: long non-coding RNA, 1071 nt
Organism: Cucurbita maxima (winter squash)
Lineage: Eukaryota; Viridiplantae; Streptophyta; Magnoliopsida; Cucurbitales; Cucurbitaceae
Exons: 4
Source: RefSeq, a predicted model, not a curated record